UAUAAUAUAACUACACUACAUAAUCUUGAAAACUAGUACUAACACAAAAAUAGCCCAAGAAAACACAAUAAACAACUUCAUAUUUUGUAGUUGAGCUUCAUCCUAGCAACCUUCUGUAAUUUUGUUGAAUUAACUCGACCUCUUCCAUUAUUUUCUCCAUUUUCAGUCUUUCAGCGGAAACAACAUCUUCCAAGUUAGCAACCAUCUUCUUCAGAUAAUUUCUUUCAACUUUUACGACUUCAAUGAAGUACUCAAGUUAUGAAUUAGCAUCGUUACAUGUGGUGGCAUCUCUUCUUCUCGCCAUUCCCACAAACCACAUGAAGAGGCCUCGUCAAAAUAUGGGCAUUUGUAGAAUCAAUUACCACCAUUCAAUUGAGUCUUAGCCACAAAAUGAUUUGCAGUUAAACCACAACCACAACGAUGCGACGAACCAGAAGAGACAGAAUUUUCAGAUAUUUCGAAGGAAAAAGACAAGAUUUAAUUAGUUGUAAAAGAGAAAUUUUGGGGAAGAAGAAAGGGGAAUAGGGGAA
This 530-nucleotide long non-coding RNA is filed under the name Nicotiana benthamiana. Its description in RNAcentral is "long non-coding RNA (NBEN_LNC033181)". The record is from RNAcentral. Lineage: Eukaryota; Viridiplantae; Streptophyta; Magnoliopsida; Solanales; Solanaceae.